RNAcentral lists this ribosomal RNA (253 nucleotides) under uncultured bacterium. RNAcentral's name for it is "partial 16S ribosomal RNA". It matches the Rfam family "Bacterial small subunit ribosomal RNA", at positions 524 to 776 of the family's 1533-position model. The record is from RNAcentral.
UACGAAGGGGGCUAGCGUUGUUCGGAUUUACUGGGCGUAAAGCGCGCGUAGGCGGCUUUGCAAGUCGGGUGUGAAAUCCCCAGGCUUAACCUGGGAACUGCAUUCGAGACUGCAUUGCUAGAGUAUGGGAGAGGGAAGUGGAAUUUCCGGUGUAGCGGUGAAAUGCGUAGAUAUCGGAAGGAACAUCAGUGGCGAAAGCGACUUCCUGGACCAAUACUGACGCUCAUGUGCGAAAGCGUGGGGAGCAAACAGG